CCGCCCCCGUCUAUUUCUCCAUCCUUUGGGUACCUCAAUCCUCCUUUCUUGUCCCUCCAACACCUCCCAGGCCACCCCAACUUGCACCCCAUCCCUACCUUUCCUCCAUCUAUGCCUCUUCCCAUAGCAACCCCUCAGCCCCCAUCUCUUACCAACACCCUCCAGCCUGCAACAACCUUCCCCAACCCACAAGCCCUGUAUCCCUCAGUUCAUUCCUCCACUCAUGGGACUCCAUAGCCACAGUCUAUCUCCAACAUCCUCCCAGCUCACAACAACCUGUGCCUCUAUCCAUGCCUCCCUCCCAACACUCCCAGCCCAACACAACCUGCACCCCACUCUGUCCCUAGAUCUGUGGGCCCCCAGUGCCCUUUUGUCCUUUCUCCAACAUGCAUCCCUAUCCCUACCUUACUCCCCCCCUCCCUCCAUCCAUCCAUGGGGCCCCUCAGCCCUUCUCUCUCCUUCCUCCACAACACAAACCCUUCAUAGGACAUGGGCAGGGAUGCUAGGUGUACAUCCCCACAGGCCAGGUCUCGGGAGCCAUGGAGAAGUAGGAGUGGACGAAAAACAUGCGGAGUAGUGGAUGGUAAAGUGGAGUGGUGACUGGGAUCAGUCUCUGUUCAUCGAGUGGGACUGGAGAGGGAGGCAGAAAUGAGGGCAAGAUUAAAGGCACCAAUAGAGCUCUGUAUAAUGAUAGUUCUUGUUUGGCUUUAUUAGUUUGCAGAGGAAUCGUCCAGGAGCUCUAGCCAGAUAAGAAUAUGGCAGAAAUGGACCUGAGCAGCCUGGACAUCCUUCUAAGGAUACAUAAACAGUCCUCAUGUUUCUGCCUUCUGCAUCGCUGGCUUACCAAGGGAAAAGAAAUCAAACAUCAGAGUUUACUUUCCUCAUCGGAUGGAAAGCGAGCGAGAGCAGUGAGCCCGCGAGCAUUGUUGAUGCAAGUGAAGAGCCGGCCGGUUGGCAGUUGCUACUGUCAGUGAGAUACAUGUCUGGUUUCGAGAGGGCUCUGCUCAUGACCCGCCUGGCUCCAGAUAGGGCCGCCCCAUUGACUGGGGCUGGGUUUGUGAGAAAUGCUUCCUGACCAGCUGUGCUUACGAGAGAGACAAGAUCCCCAUUUUCAGGGGCUGCUCAGUUCUCUGGCCAGGAGCGGUGUGUCCUCCACAGCAGAAGGUUGCAUCUAGGAGGAUGACUCCAGUUUGCAGAGGAAUCGUCCAGGAGCCCAACCGGACAAGAAUAUGGCAGAAGUGGACCUGAGCAGCCUGGACAUCCUUCUAAGGAGACACGAAUAGUCCUCAUGUUUCCGCUUUCUGCAUCACGGGCUAUGAGUAAGAGUACCAAGGAAAAUGAAGUCGCGCAUCAAAGUCUACUGCUCUGAUGCGAUGGAAAGCGAGCAAGAGCGUCGAGACUCUGACCAUUGUUGAUGCCACGCAAAAGCUGUCCAUCUGGAAGCCGAGGAGAUGCUGCUGUCAGCGAGAUAAGUGUCUGGUUUGGGGAGGGCUCUGCUCACGCCCAACCCGAGUCCAGGUAGGGAAGCCCAGUACGGUAAGGCUGGGUUUGUAUGAAAAGGUUCCUGACUAGCUGUGGUCACGAGGGAGAAAAGGUCCCUGUUUUCAGAGGUUGCUCAUUUUUCUGGUCAGGAACAGUGUCUCCUGCACAGGGGGAGGUUGGAUCCAGGAGGAUGACUCAGGUGAUGAGUUGCUUGCUUUCCUCCCAUUUGUCUCUCCCUUCUCUAGUGUGUUGGCCAACUUUCUCACUCUCUUCCCUCUCCUCUCCUCGUGUCGUCUCACUUCGUAAGACACGGGCAGACAUGUUAGGUGUGCAUCCCUACAGGCUAGGUCUCGGGAUCCAUGGAGUAGCGGGAGCUGACGAAAAUCAUGCGUAGCAGUGGCUGUUGGUGUUAACUCUGUCUCUGUUGAUGGAGUGGGGCUGAGGUAGAUUGGGUUGGAGAGGGAUGCCAGGUUGAGGGCAAGAUUCGAAGCACCAGUAGAGCUUUGUGUAGUGAUGGCUCAUGCUUGGCUUUUGCAGCUGCUCUUCCAAAGCAAUUUUCCAGGAGUCCUAGACUGAGGAGAAAGUGGCAGAAGUGGACAUGAACAAUCCUCAGCUUUCUGACUCCCGCACAACUGGCUGCUCAUAUACACCCCUUGAACCAAAGGGACUUGCUCUUCACUGACUGACUAUGCCUGGCAGUGCAGGAAAUGGUCAACUGAAGGUAAUGUAUCUUUGGAAGAACUCAGGGUAAGUUUUUAAAGUGAAGAGGUCUGGUUAUGCUCGUGCUGGUUAAUCUUAAGUCUGUAUUAAUACUAUAGUUUAGUUAUAUUAGUAAAUUGUUGAAGUUGUUUAAAGAUUGUAAUAGUCAAUAGUUGAUCAAUAUAUAAUGACUGUAUAUGUUUUUGUGCCUUGCUGGGAAUGGGUACAGUGCUGGUGAACCUAGUAGCUUUGCAUGUCGCUGUGCCUGUCUUUUAUAUAAGUUACCAUCAUAAAAGUCAAUAAAUGCUUAUAAGUUGUUAUACAAAGUUAUAGGUAGGUUAAGGUUAGUAAAAUAUAGUUAGUCCAUGUAUUAAUAUUGCAUAUAGAAUUGUAUUUGUUGGGGUGGGUGCAGUACAUGUAAGGUUACUAGGCAAUCAGUAAUAGUAACAUUGCAUGCGCUUGUAACUAUUUUCAAUAUUAUUUACCUUUUAUAUGUGCACUUAUAGGAAUAGGCAGUUAUUGCAUAAUAUUACUUGUACUUGUCUCCAGUAUAAUUUGCCAUUUGUAUUAAUCCUCACUCAGUGCUGGUCUUUAA
This is a long non-coding RNA of Gopherus evgoodei (Goodes thornscrub tortoise), 2776 nucleotides long. RefSeq lists it as uncharacterized. The transcript is spliced from 5 exons. Lineage: Eukaryota; Metazoa; Chordata; Testudines; Testudinidae. The record is from RefSeq and is a predicted model, not a curated record.